AAUCCAUAGGUUAAUGAGGCGAACCGGGGGAACUGAAACAUCUAAGUACCCCGAGGAAAAGAAAUCAACCGAGAUUCCCCCAGUAGCGGCGAGCGAACGGGGAGGAGCCCAGAGCCUGAAUCAGCAUGUGUGUUAGUGGAAGCGUCUGGAAAGGCGCGCGAUACAGGGUGACAGCCCCGUACACAAAAGCGCAUGUGCUGUGAGCUCGAUGAGUAGGGCGGGACACGUGGUAUCCUGUCUGAAUAUGGGGGGACCAUCCUCCAAGGCUAAAUACUCCUGACUGACCGAUAGUGAACCAGUACCGUGAGGGAAAGGCGAAAAGAACCCCGGCGAGGGGAGUGAAAAAGAACCUGAAACCGUGUACGUACAAGCAGUGGGAGCACAGGUUUACCUGUGUGAC
RNAcentral lists this ribosomal RNA (400 nucleotides) under Salmonella enterica subsp. enterica serovar Infantis. RNAcentral's name for it is "partial 23S ribosomal RNA". It matches the Rfam family "Bacterial large subunit ribosomal RNA", at positions 161 to 597 of the family's 2925-position model. Lineage: Bacteria; Pseudomonadati; Pseudomonadota; Gammaproteobacteria; Enterobacterales; Enterobacteriaceae. RNAcentral also lists the same sequence under 12 other names. The record is from RNAcentral.